AAGCUCAGAAAGUCUUCCUUUUUAGGAAAACAUAUAGGAGGUACUGAGCACUGCAGAUCUGUUAGCUCCAAAUGUAAUUCCAGUGUGUUAUUAACUGGAGGAUCAGCCGUGCUCCAUUGUACACAUCUCCAAGGCAAACCACAAUGAUAGAAAGUGCUGCUUCUGUCCAAAACCAGUAUCACCAGUACAUCUCUCCUCUCAUC
This 203-nucleotide long non-coding RNA is filed under the name Phasianus colchicus (ring-necked pheasant). RNAcentral describes it as "lncRNA (ENSPCLG00000003747.1)". The record is from RNAcentral. Lineage: Eukaryota; Metazoa; Chordata; Aves; Galliformes; Phasianidae.